RNA transcript from Camelina sativa (false flax), 1020 nucleotides. RefSeq lists it as uncharacterized. Lineage: Eukaryota; Viridiplantae; Streptophyta; Magnoliopsida; Brassicales; Brassicaceae. The record is from RefSeq and is a predicted model, not a curated record.
UUUUUUUUUUUGCUUCGGUGAAAUGUGAAUUGGAUGGUUCGUUACCUUAGGGAUCUUGGAAGUUUCAUUUGUGUAGAGGUUCAUGGUUGGAUUGUGAAUGGUGUGUUUCGAUUGAGUUAAAAUGUGUUUUUUUUAUUGCUUGUUGUUGUCAUAUUUUGUAGUGAAGGUUGGGAUACCUAAGUUCUUGAGUGGGAUUGGCGGAGGAGUUGAGACUCACAUUGCAAAACUUAAAACUGAGAUUGGUGAUCUUUCGAAACUGCUUGUGACUCGUACGGUUUCUAGCGGUUGUGAUUGAUACUUGUGCUCGGUAUAAAGGUGUGAUUGAUUCAUGUGCUCGGUAUAAAGGAUUCUGAUAACUUUCCCAGAGCUGACGCUAUAAAGGUGUGAUUGAUUCCUGUGCUCGGUAUGGCUUAGAAGAUAUUCGAAAGACCUUCUUCUUUUGCAAUUGUAUCCUUCUACUUCACUGAUAUUGAUAUUUUCGAUAGAAGCAUGACUUCUUGUAGGAAUGGGAACAUAUUUGCAGGUCUUGGCAAUAAUAUCGGAUUGCUAAAACAUCCUCUCUGCUUUCUUUGUCUAGUAUUAUAAUCUUGAGUUAUGCAUCUCUUCUUUUUAUAUAUUGUUGUUGCUGACUUCUGAUUUCCAGGCCUGUCUCGGACGUUACGAGUGACUUAACCAUCGAAGUAGGCUCUGCCAGCUUUUCUCUCCACAAGAUUUGGCGGUUCAAUCAGGAUAUCCCAGAGAAGCACUUAGUUACAGCUAAAGAUGAUUUAAAUCCAUGGUUGGAGCUCUUAGGAAAUGCUGUGAAAGAAGCUGGAGGGAAGACUAGUGAGCCUGAGAUUUUCCCUACAUCAACUGAUUCUCCAUAUGUAUGUCUCAAUCCUCAAGGCUUACACAUCAUAUGUUUUAUAUGCCAUUGUUUAGGAUUUGAAUGUCUGUGUUUUUUUAUUUAUGAUUACUGCAAGUAUUGAGAGAAUGAGCAUAUAAUUUUUUUCAAUUUGCAAAGCAGUUUCAGUUUUAUGA